Non-coding RNA from Oryza barthii, 207 nucleotides. The record is from Rfam. Lineage: Eukaryota; Viridiplantae; Streptophyta; Magnoliopsida; Poales; Poaceae.
UAUAAGUACAGUUGUGGUUUUCCGUGUCUAACGUUUGACCGUCCGUCUUAUUUAAAAAAUAUUUAUGACAAGUAUUUUUAUUGUUAUUAGAUGAUAAAACAUGAGUAGUACUUGUUGUGUGACUAUUUUUUUAAUUUUUCAUAAUUUUUUUCAAAUAAGAUGGACGGUCAAACGUUAGACAUGAAAACUCGCAAGUUGAGGCUUAUG